RNAcentral lists this long non-coding RNA (6378 nucleotides) under Daphnia pulex (common water flea). Its description in RNAcentral is "uncharacterized LOC124188905". Lineage: Eukaryota; Metazoa; Arthropoda; Branchiopoda; Diplostraca; Daphniidae. The record is from RNAcentral.
CUAAAUAUGUUGACGUGCGUUAUAGUUUUGCUUCUUUUAAGUUAAAAAAAAAUUAAAACUGAAAAAUAGACUUUGAAAAAAUGAUUUACGGGAAACUACGCCUCACUGAUGACACAGCCAAUCAGCCACCGUUUUUAAGUGUAUACCAAAGCUCUCAGAGUGCUCAACUUUCUCAGCAAUCUAUAUAGAAACUGGAAUGUGAAUGUUUCAGCGAGCUUAUGUAUAUAUUAUUGAAGCAGUAUAUAAUCGGAGCAAUAAAGAGGUUAAUACGGACUUGAAUAAAGGAUUACACCAGCACGGUUUGCUGCUGUGCCAAAUAAGAAGCAAGUGACAUUUGCUCUGUAAACUUAAACCCCGCACAUUGAGGGCGCAUAAGGACGAACGAAAUGUAAUCAGGACAGCUCUAUAUAAUACAAAAAAGCAAGAGAUAAAUAUAAAACAGCCAGCAAAUAUCUGGACCUUGCAGCCGCAGCAUACUAUAUACUUUGAGGUUGGUCCUGUCAAUAUUUUCUACCUUUACUAUUGUACCCCGCCCAGCACCGUUGGCGGAGACCGCCGUUGGUGUCGCCACUGCCGAAAAUCCCGUUAUCUUUCAUAAAUAAAAUAUAAACGCAACUAAUUAACGCUAAAUGUAUUAUUUGUGUCAGGAGCUUAAAACUAUACCAAGAAAAAAUGGCCGACUAUUUCACAGAAUCUUUUAUAAUGACAUCUCAUAUCUCUUUCCAGGAAUUGUAGUUCGUGACAACAGACGAAUUUCGAUUGCGUUUUAGUGAAACACGUAUGUAUACACAAUUUGGAGUGGGCUGGGAUUAAUUAAAUUAUAUUUUUUGCACUAUACGUUGAAGAUAGUAAACUAUACACACCACUCCAGCAAAUGUCAAAUCAAACAAACCUAUACCUCCAUAAACUAAGCAAUUAUAACUCAUUUUAAAAGCUAUCUUGAUUAUAGUAUGAACGAUCCCAUUAUUGAUCGUUGCUAUUAUUGGAGAUUUUUUUAGAUGUUUUCAUACACUUUUAAUAGCCCAUAUAUACCCAAUGAUGCAGGGGAAAAAUAGCCAAUGCAAAGGGGCAAUAUACUCACUAAAUAGACUUGCUAGAAAGCGAUUGAAAGUGUUAUGUCAUUAAAAAAAAACGUUUGGACUGGCCGGUUUAGCCAGGAUGAAAAAUUGUUCACACUCAUCACAUGAAACAGCAUGAGUCAUGAUUCGUGACCAAUAGAAAUACACAUCUACAGGCCUGUCUCUUUCUUUUAUACGGGUUAUGGCUGACGGUUAAUUCAUAACAUCAAAAUGUCGCAAAGGAAAUAAGCUAUAGAAAACAGCAAAAUUGUUUAACACUUACGUAGUUUUUGACCCACACGACAGCAUAUCUAUACUAAAAGGCCUGCUAUAGUCUAAAAAUAAAGAUGGUCCUGAACAUGACAUUAGGAGAAAGCACGAAAAUGAGGGCAAGGUUGUUGCUGCUGCUGAGAACAGAGAAUAUAAAAGUCUGGUUAGGAAAUUGUUUGCUGGAUGCCAGCAGGGGAAAACCUUGUCCUACACGAAGGCCUUUCAUCUGUUUUAUACGGCACUGGUGUUUUAGCUAAAAGGCAGGUCAGUUUUGAGGAAGAGGUUGGAGAUUUAUUGCUUGGGCUGUGACGUAAUCUUUAUAAAAGUCCUAUAUUAUACGAGUGCUCGCCAAACUCAAUCUGCUUUUUUGCCAGGGGCCAGGUUUGUUUUCGUCUUGUUUGCAUAUAAACUUGGGCCUGUUAAUUAAACGAGUUAUUUUUACAGGGUUUUCAGUAUAAAAGAUCAUCCACACAUAUCUCAAUCACGACGAGUGUACAUAAUAAUAAAAACUUGUUUAAAAUUAACGGGACUUGCUAUAUAGUUGGGGUGGAAAAAUUCGCUUCAACUCGUAUAUAUACCCAAUUAACAUCUGUCAACUCUGUCAAAUUACACGCAUCACAGCUAUAAUAACAAUAAUUGAUAUUUGUCGUUUUGAUAAGUUAAUCCCUAUUUCCGAGUAACAUUUCAUUGUGUCGAAGUACACAGUAUACGCUGUAUGUAGGCUGCUGCUGCUAACUAUAGGGAAGCAGACAAACUUUUGAGAGUUAGCGUGUGGGUCUUUAUAGGUAAAAUGAGACUAGUGCCUCACCCAAUAACUUGCACUGUGUGGCAGCCAUUUUGAGGGCUGAACCAGCCAAUGGGAGAGCGAUGAUGGAUGGUCAUAGGUCCACCACAGCAUAUAGGCUAUCUUUCUGAUAUCACUGACAAGUGAUUUACAUGCUCGUCAUUAUCAGCAACCGUAAUCUUUUCACGACUGAUAAUUUCGAGUUUAGAAAUACCUCUGCAAGCCCCUUAACAAAUAAUGUAAUAUAAUAGGGUAAUAACUAAAACCAAUGAGUAGAUUUCGUAGCUUUAUAUUUUGAGAAGGCACUGAAUAUUUUAUUCGCUGCAUUGCGCGAUAUACCUUUUUACAGUUUAAAUAUUCUGAAUCGAUAUCGAUAUCAUUCAGAGGGCUUGGCCGGCUGUGCAUUUGUCAGCAGUGUGGCUCAACCGGGCUCAGCAGCACAACACAAUCAAAGUAAAACUUUCAAGUUAUGCUGCUGCCUAUUAGAGAAAUAUUUUAAAACAAAAACAGGGAAAGUUUUCUGUACGAAAUUGCACUCAAAUGAAUAAAUAGCUAUACCCAGCAACUAUAAUAGGAUUUCAAGUAUAUAUAUAGCUAGGCCUGUCGCUAAAUAAUGCAUCAGCAGACAGCAAACUGCUUUUUUCCAAACAAGAAAGAUAAAUCGAGGCGUCUGCUGCUGUCGCUGCACAUAACUGCGUUGUAUAUAGGAUACAAUGUCCAAGCAAGUGUUAACGUGAAAGUGAUAUAGCCAACACAGCAGGGCAUUCCUUGGAAAUAACAAACGCAGAUUGAUAAAAGAAAAAGUUUGAUAUAUAUACAAGUCAACAUUGAUGACGAGUUAUAAUAUAUAAGAUUGACUAUAUCGCUUGAAUAAGACUUCGAGGAUCCAAGAUUUUGCUAGCAAAGCAGCUCAUCGAGCGUUCGAGGACCAUUACAACCUAAGUCAAUAUAGGGGCAGCAUUGUGCAUAUUUUAUAGCCUUAUAAGCAACUCAUUUUUUUGUCAAACAUCAAAUUCUCAAUAAAACUAGGAAUACUUCACCCCGUUAAUACGGACGGAAAUCAACUCGUAAUUUUGUGAAAAUGUUGAAGUUAUGUGGGAAAGGGGUUGCUGUAUGGAUUUUUUGUUUCUAUCACAGAGACCAGCCAAGGCUGCUGCACCAUCGAUCCCUUGUCUCAGUAUAGGUAAAAAACGUACGUGGGCGAUGAAACACUCUAUAUAUAUAUAUAUUGAUACAAAAUCUUAUGUGAAAUGUUCUUUGAUUUCCUAUGUACAUUGCUGCUGGCUGAUGCCCGUUAUUCGGGUGCUAUAGGUCGGCCUGAUGAUGCGUAGCUUAUACUUAACAAACAUUAAGAUUGGGAGUAGACAGGAUUAUUGAUCUAUGCUGCUGCUGUGUUUCUGGGAAUGAGAUCGUCUAAAAUACCUGUAAGAACUGGUGGAUGUAUGUGCUGAAGUCUCAGUCGAUCCAUAUAGAGAAACGCAGUUAGAAAGGGCCAGAAUAAAAAGCUGUACAUGGCGAAACGAAUUGGACCAGGAAUGCCAUCAAAAAGAGAUAGACUAAAAGAAAAUGACUAGGCCCUACAAUGUACGACGACAAAAAAUAAACAAAAAAUGGCUGCAAUGCAUCAGUUCUGUGAUGAUAGCACAUGAUGAGAUAUCCCAGAGAAAUAGUAUAGGCUACAAUAUGAUGGAAAGGAAGCGCGCGGAUGACAUAAACAAAACUAAACUAUAGUUGACAUUUAAAGCUUUUUUUCUUUUCAAAACUAAUACUAAUAGUAUGGGUGGACAGAGGGCAUUAUACAAGAAGUUUGAGUUAAGCUUGACGGGUGUCUUUUUCGGGUUUAUUAAGACUGUGACUCUAAAUGAAUAACAUCUCUUGCAAUUCAAAUUGCAAUUUAGAUCAAAAACGUUUAUCAUAAUGAAGAUCAAAAUGAUUAGGUUAAUCACAUUACCUUUUUCUCGCAUAAGUUGAAUAGAGCCAAAUAAAAAAAUAUUAGACGAUGAGCUACCAGCAUAAUAUACAUGUACAGAUCAGUGCUGUGCCAAUCAAAACAGGAAAAAUAACGACACGCCUUCAGAUGACGCAAAAUGAGUCAUCUUAUAAGCACAAUCACUUGGCAGCUCGUUCAGUUAUGCUUGAGGUAGGGCAAGCAGAGCUCGAGGCAAACAAUGUGACAGGUGAACGAAUAUUGUAUAAUAUCCUAAUAAAAAAGGGCGACACAUUUUGCACUCCCGAAUGCAACUCUGUUGAAAAAUAAUGGUCGUAUUCAGCAAGUGUUUCUACAAUUCUGCCAAAGACCAAUAUAGAGAAAUUUAUAGGCUACUACCGAUAUUUAAUCUCAAGCAAUGCAAUAGAGAGGGUCUACACCGAUACACUCUAAGUGCAGACCGAUAGACACUCUCUUGGUCUCCUUUUAAAAAAGAAUAUUGUUAAAUGCUAUAAUGGUUGUUCCUCUAAAGUGUCGAAUGCUAUACCUACACAUCAUUUUGAAAGCAGCAGUGGUCGCAUUGGCAAGUUUCUGGGACUGGGAGAUAGUUUCAAAAUUAUUAUAAUUGGCGGAUAAUUGGCUAUGUGUAAAGGGCGUAUACAUUGACGUCAGCCAUAGCUCGCGAUACUUUCACUUCCGUAUUGUUCAUGUACAUAUAGCCUAGACACAUGCAGGGAUAAGGCAAAGGAAACAAUGUUUGCUCUACGCAUGUACAAAUUACAUAACCAGCACCCAGCAGCCUAUAGGCCUACUAUCCCUGGGCCUGUAUAAAAAACUCUUGAUAAUUCAAACUGGCACAACUUUGACGAUUGGUUUCUGUUUGGUUGCUAUGACAACUCGUAAGAUAAAUACGAUUUGCCUCUCUUCCUUUUUCAUCGAAAAUGUUGUUAUAUAAAAUAUAAAAUAAAAUACUUGGACGAGGAUAUAGCGGAUUUCAGUUGGCUGUACAAUUAAGUUGGACCCCUGAAGUUUAAAAAUAGACGUUUUACACCAUUUCCUUAAGCAAAAGUAACGAUUUCAUUGGCGGCCAAAGUCGGCAAAAGUUCGUAUAAAGGGAGUUUCCAGUUUUCUCAAAUGGGGAAAACUGCUAUUUAUGCUGGUAUAUAAGUUUGGGUGAUGAAAUUUUCAUGCAUUACUAUGCAAAAUAGCAGUGAUGAAACUCUUUACAUAUACGCAUCAUUUGCUAAGGUGCUGAAUGCUGCUAAAUUGGAUUUCUACUGGAAGUUAUUUAAUUCAACGACUCCCAAUUGCUUUUAGAUGCAAGUCUUUCGUUAAUUAGACGUUAUUUUUUUGAAGCAACUCUAAAGUUUCAAGUUUAGAAAAUGUUUCCAAGAAACAAGCCAGACGAAUCAUCACCUAUUAUAGAUGUCGCUGGUGUUUUUGGGCUACAGAAGCACUUCGUCUCGCACCAACGGGAGCAAGAUGACCGAUGGUUACAUCACAAAAUUACGGCAAUCAUCGUCCAAUCAAAUCAAAUUCAAUUUUCCUUAUUUCCCUCAUUAUAUAUAGGCCUGUGUGCAUAAUUUCGACUAUAGAAUUCAACCUUGACGAGAAACUGUUUACAAAGACACGUCAGCAAGAAAAAGAGACAAGUUAUUUGCUUAAAGGACACAGUCUGCGUGACACACCUUUCACGAAAAGUUGUCGGCAUAGUAUUAAAGAUUCGUUCGCUAUAGUAAGAGAGGCCAUCACACUCUCUAUUAGAGGUUCUAUCUACCAUAUACAGGAAGAAGCAGACGUGGGAGUGGACAUGGAUUUGGACGCUAUAUAAUAGAAGCAUCAGCGUGAUGCGGCUCGAAACUGUGAACAUCUGCAACCACUUGUACAACCUCAUCACUUCAGCAACUGAAAUUGCAUAAACAAGACACAAUUCAUUUCUUGUUUCACUAGAAAUAUAGCAGUUAACAUAUUAGAAAUGGUUUUUCAACUAUAUUCGUGUGCUGGUAAUAAUUUGCUAAAGUGAUCGGCCAUUUUGCUUUUAAAACAGACGACACUAUUGCAAUUGUUGUUAAUUGGAACCAAGUUAUUCUAUUUCGUCCCAAGUUAUUUAGUUCGUAAAAAACCCUGAACUUUUAUUCAAGUAUACUGAAUAUUUCUGUUUUUUUCAAACAUAUAAUUAAAAAAAAAAUCACGACAGAUAUAACUACUUUGUUAUGUAAAGAGUUAAACAAAUCAAUUAAUGUAGGCUAUUACAUAGCUAAUGUAUGCCAGAUUUAUCUGCAAUCCGAUAUUAAGUUGAAUUGUUGUUAACAUAAACUAAUACAUACAUGGAAAAAGUA